UACAGAGGGGGCAAGCGUUGUUCGGAAUUACUGGGCGUAAAGGGCGCGUAGGCGGCUUGUUAAGUCGAACGUGAAAUCCCCGGGCUCAACCCGGGAACUGCGUCCGAUACUGGCAGGCUUGAAUCCGGGAGAGGGAUGCGGAAUUCCAGGUGUAGCGGUGAAAUGCGUAGAUAUCUGGAGGAACACCGGUGGCGAAGGCGGCAUCCUGGACCGGCAUUGACGCUGAGGCGCGAAAGCCAGGGGAGCAAACGGG
RNAcentral lists this ribosomal RNA (253 nucleotides) under uncultured bacterium. Its description in RNAcentral is "partial 16S ribosomal RNA". It matches the Rfam family "Bacterial small subunit ribosomal RNA", at positions 524 to 776 of the family's 1533-position model. The record is from RNAcentral.